This 205-nucleotide ribosomal RNA is filed under the name Alexandrium monilatum. Its description in RNAcentral is "partial Bacterial small subunit ribosomal RNA". It matches the Rfam family "Bacterial small subunit ribosomal RNA", at positions 102 to 323 of the family's 1533-position model. Lineage: Eukaryota; Dinophyceae; Gonyaulacales; Pyrocystaceae. The record is from RNAcentral.
CACGGGUGAGUAACGCGUGGGAAUUUGCCUUUUGGUACGGGAUAACGUCUGGAAACGGACGCUAAUACCGUAUGUGAUCUACGGAUUAAAGAUUUAUCGCCAGAAGAGAAGCCCGCGUAGGAUUAGGUAGUUGGUGUGGUAAUGGCGCACCAAGCCGACGAUCUUUAGCUGGUCUGAGAGGACGAUCAGCCACACUGGAACUGAG